This 6062-nucleotide long non-coding RNA is filed under the name Lactuca sativa (garden lettuce). RNAcentral describes it as "long non-coding RNA (LSAT_LNC000405)". The record is from RNAcentral. Lineage: Eukaryota; Viridiplantae; Streptophyta; Magnoliopsida; Asterales; Asteraceae.
GAGAACAUCGGAACUCUUCGACAAGACUCGCCGAGUCCAAGAACAGACUCGCCGAGUCUAUGGCUAUCUUCAACCUACUCGCCGAGUUGUUCAUACAACUCGCCGAGUUCCAGGCCAUCUUCAUCCAACUCGCCGAGUUGUUCUUCCAACUCGCCGAGUCCCAGCUCAUCUUCAAACAACUCGUCGAGUACACCCAUGUGACUCGCCGAGUACCACCGGUCUGAAUCCAUUCAGAAGCAUUCCAGGCCAUGCAAUUGCUCCAAAACAUAGAUCUAGCCUCCUACCACUCAUCCAUCACGUAAAGUGGCAAACUUUACGUGAAUCCAUAGAGAUCUAGGCCAUUUGCACAUUAGGCUAGGGUUUGGGACAUGAAAGCUUCACUAAACACUCCAACACCGGGACUUUCAGGCUCUCUGAUUCUUUUCCACUCCAGAUAUGAGGUAGCAACCUCAGAUCUACCCUUUAGACUUCCAAUUACAUCCAUAGGCAAGAUCCCACAAACCCCAAAAUGAAGAAACAACAUAACAAUAGCCCAAGAACGAGAUAUUACCUCCAAUGGACGCCCUAACUACAAUGAAACUCGAAUCCAAGCAAGGCCCCUUGCUCCAAGCCUCUCUUUCUCUAAGAUCUCUUCAAAACCACCUCUCCAAGCUCCAAUUUGCUCAACAAUGGUGCUUCUCCAUGAUUUUAGGGUUUCUGGGACUCAAGGGGGAAUAAAGAGGCUGGAAGGGAAACAUAAUGUUCUUUAUAUAGGGCUCAACCCCGAGAAUUAGGGUUUUCUCCACUCAGCGCCUACUCGCCGAGUCCUCCUUACUGACUCGCCGAGUCGGCUACUUAACACGCGACCCAGUCGCGACUCUACUCGCCGAGUCCAUCCAUGGACUCGCCGAGUCACUCUUCCACAACUUACUCUUUUAGCCCUUCAACUCUACUCUUGAUAUUUCGGGAUGUUACAAUUCUCCCCCACUUAUAUUAGGCUUCGCCCUCGAAGCCUACAUCAACUCAACUCCAAGGAUACUCCCACAAUGCUCCACCUGGCCUUAACCGGACCAGGUCCCUCAAGGCAUACUUAUCGAAACUCGAACACACUUUCCCCUCCUUCACAGUGCCCUGACCACCAUCUCGAACCGGGCACCGACUGUACCCCUGAUCAUUACUCUCAAUAAUCGAGAAUUACCCAAGAUGCAACUCUGCUCUAAAUCUCAACAAUCACUCGACCCAUAAGGGUUAGAAAUUCAUGAACCAUCGGAUCCCCGAUCCGAAUCCCACUCUAUCCAUUCCGGGACGACUGUGAGACCCAUUCUCAAUCUCAGAGCAACUCUCACGAGUUCUCCCCUUGCAACCGCAUACACAUGCUGAACUAGCUCUAACACCCUCAGGUUGGGAAAACCUGAUACACUGAUAAUACCCUCAAACAUCCCCCAGGAUGAACCACUGAUAUACACCCCAUACCUUGAUCAGAAUCACACUGAGAGUUCAAGACUCUCUCUCUCCCUGCGUCCCUUUCGAGCCUCUUGGCUCUACACUUGCGGAUUUCCCUCCGCGACCUCAGCAGACAUUCCAAACCAGAUGAGCUUCUAAUCCACUGCCGCAAACACGCUGCUCAAAAAUCAUACUCGAAUUGCUCUAAUCAUAACUUCUGCUCUGCCGCUUUCACUUCCGUGAACUUGCACUCCCUCUCGGAGUUACACACCUCUUACUUCUCCCUCUUCCGUUACCAUGGAAUCCACCCGGCCACGAUGUCACUCCGACAAAUGCCACGACGCUCGCCCGAUGCUACACCACCCUUAUCGUGUCCGCUAUCCAUCCAACACACUUACUCUGACUCUCCUCGCAGGGACUCUCAAGCCCAUGCACUACCUCAACUAAACAAGAUCACUACCCGGGGCCAGACCUUCCAAUGCAAUCACACUGCAACAUACACAAUACGAAAUCUCAAACUGAUCCAACAAUACCAACAGAGUCUCCAGCAUGACUGGACCGACUCACAUAACACAUAUUAGCCACUCGAGGCUAUAUCUCUGUGGGUCCGUACACCCAAACUCUGUGAACCCUCAGGUUCUAACUCUGGGAACCUUCCGGUUCCAACUCUAUAAACAUGCACAGCAUAAAUCCCAUAGAAUUAAUGCAGUACAACACAUCACGUACAUAAAGCAUACAAAUACUCUGAUCACAUAACCCCGGUUACCUACUCAAACUUGAUCCCGACCUGCUUCCAGGCCUCCACAAUCAAAUGCCCUAGGUCUGUAUCCCGCCCCGCAUCCCCGACACUCGCUCCUAUCAGCCUAUACUCUGGGCUGACAGAACACUGCUGAACCCCAACAGCUAAGCACCCUCAAGUACUCAUCGAUCUCCCGGAGAAUUCUCCAAUUCUCCCCCCACUUAAAGCACUGACUAACAACCACCUGUCGCCAUUAACGACCUUCCAGAACAACCCCGCACAAAGAGAACACUUACACACUGACUGCUUCCCACAAGCAUAAGCAACCCUCAGCAAAACACAUCUCCUCACUGAUCAAUCUGCUCACAACGAAUCCGAUCUCCAAUUAUCCACUCCACGACUGCAGAUGUUACCCGACAUUCAACCCAAUGCCGCAUCUCCACUAAUAACCCUCACGAAUGAUAACCAACGGAAUUCCCAAAGCAAUAACCCAUAACCACAGCCACAACCCGCAAAAUGACGAAUACCGCAUCGAAAACCACACAAAGAUACCAGCACAAAACACCAAACUAUAACCAUACCAAACCUUCAGGGAACAACAAAUACCAAAACGAAAACCCGAAACACCGAUCCAUAACCAUGCCAAACCCGUGAAACAACGAAUACUGCAUCGAAAUCCACACAAAGAUACCAGCACAAACAAUACGCCACAAUAAUCGCAAGAUAACAAGACAUCAAGAAAGAACAUACCCGCAGCUGCCUCCGGCACUGCUCUGACCUCCUCUGCCGCAAGCUGAUAAGCACGACCCUGAGCCCUCGGGGGCUCCGCUCCAUCCUGUCCUCUUCCUGAACUCCUCAAGGUGGCCGGUGCUAGAGCCUGCACCGGUCCUGCAACAAGCUGCGGACAGUUCACCCUCAAAUGCCCAACCUGACGACAAUGAUAGCAAAUCCUCAAAUCCCGAACUGGCGCUGACUGCCGACAAUCCCGUGCAUAGUGCCCCUCCUUUCCGCUCUUGCGACAUGCACCACCGGACCAACAAACUCCGAUAUGACCCCUCCCACACUUCCCACAAGUGUGGCCACUCAGAUCCCCCACUCUAACAUCAACGGUCCUGGACCGUUUCGGCACCGGCUGCGACUGCAUCGGAGCCUGCCUCAGCUCACGCAACUGCAGCUCAAUCUCUACCUCACGCCGCCCGGCGGCCUCCUGCAACAAGGUCUCGCACCUCUGCGCAGACACAAACUGUUUGAUAUCCCUCUUGAGAAUACUUAGAUAUCAGGACAUCUGAGCUUGCUCCGAAGCAUACUCAGGGCAAAACAUCGCCCUCAAAGUGAACAUCCUGGUGAUCUCACUCACCGACUCCGAAUCUUGCUUCAGCUCAAGGAACUCCUGAGCCAAUCUCUCCCUCUCAACCUGCGGAACAUAACGAGUGAUGAACAUCUCUCGGAACUGAUCCCAUGAUACCGCAGCCCUCUGCGCAUCUAAAUAUGACCCCGUGGUCAACCUCCACCAAUCCUUCGCCCCGAGCCUCAACAGGUUCAGAGCCCACCUCACCCUCUGAUCAGCAGGGCAUAAACACGUGAAGAAACACCCCUCCACGUCUGACAACCAUUUCAUAACAACAAUCGGGUCCUGAACUCCAUCAAAUGUGGGAGGCUUCGCAUAAUAGAAGUCCCGAUACUGAAAACCCCGACUAGCNNNNNNNNNNNNNNNNNNNNNNNNNNNCGGCAGCCGUCUCUGCGAGAGCCGCAUAGCGCUCAUCAAAAUACUCAACCAUGGCGGUCUUGAUCGACCCAAACAGUUCCGGCAACUCAGCCCGGAACAAUGCAGCAACCUCAUCAUGCAGGAUCUCGCGAAUCCUCGCAUCCAACUCGCUCGUGCUCAUCUGAUCGAUAACCUCAGACGGCACCGAUCCACCCGGAACUCUCUCUCCAGCUCCCGAUCCUGAUCCGGAUCCACUCUCAUCAUGCCUCGGAAUCUCCAUACUGAGAAACACCACACCAAAAACUCAGACACAUCCCACUAACCUGGGAUCCAACUCUCUCAACUCCCACCCUAGAGAUCAUGGUUUCCCUGAUAUGCGUAUGGGUCCUGUGCUUUCAGUAGUACGGGCCCAUACUACCUUCCACACCUACCCAUAUUUGUAUGAAGUACUACCACAAUAUCCUAGAGAACAUGCAUAACAACUAUCAACCCUCACCACUAGAGGAACACUGAGAAUCUCCCAUAAGGGACCCUAGGCUACAGGCAUCACAAAUCAGGCAACAUUAUCAUGAAAUCCUGAAGAUCCCUAGCCUAACUCUAGCAUGCUGUUCUAUCAAAGCUCAAUAAAACAAGUGUCAUGAAUGGUAAAUUUGGGGUUACUUACUGGCUCCGGCUGAUCGUACCUCCGCGUCCCCCUUUUACUUAAUUUGAAAACCAUUUUAAUUUCUCUUUUAAAACCUUCCUCGAUUUGAGACUGGAGUUACACGAGUGUUCCUCCAAUUCACUCAAACCAAGGCUCUGAUACCAACUUGUAACGACCAAAAUUUCAAAACAAUUAAAACUUUUCAAAAACCACCCAUUUUAAUAACGUUGUUACAAAAAGGUUUUCAAUACAUUAUUUAACAGAGUAUUUUUCCCAGGUUCAAAUCAUAAAACACCAACGCGGGGAACGGUACGAUCACGCCUUUGCCUUGCCACAGACUCCUGAGAACCUGAAAACAUAAAACCACAACUGUAAGCCCGAAAGCUUAGUGAGAUACCCCCAAAAUACCAACCACAUAUACGCCCUUCCAGGCCACGACCUUCCGGUCCAAAACAUAUCGCCUUCCGGCCCAUAACAUAUUGCCUUCCGGCCCAUAACAUAUCGCCUUCCAGCCCAUAACAUAAAAUGUCCACGUAACAUAACAGAUCAUAGAACAACCUUACAUAUCGGGUCAAACCCCAGACCAAGCAACUGUGCACAUAACAUAUAAUCAUUCAACAGAUCACAGUCAGCGAAUCGAUCAACAGAUCACAUAACAUAUCAUUACCCUAACCAAGAUACCGGCCUAACCGGUCACUAGCAUAACAUCACCCUACGAAUCAGUCAACAUACUAAUUACACACAUACGCCUUUCCAGGCCAUGACCUUCCGGUCCACAUCGCAAUGCCUUCCGGCCCACAACAUGUAAUGCCUUUCGGCCCAUAACAUAUAAUGCCUUCCGACCCAUAACAUAAUGCCUUCUGGCCCAUAUUCCGCAAUAUCAUAACAACAAACACUACUCGGAUUUCCAUCCGAUAAAGGGUCGGCCUUGGUGCCGUAGACCCUAUUGAUAUAGUGAGGAUAACUCACCUCGAAACUGCCGACUGAACAGAUAACUCAAGCUGCUCCGAUCACUGAUACGAUCUCCACCUCUGGACAGCCACCAAUGCACUGAACUCAAACAAUAAUCAACAAUUACCAAAAUACCCCUGGAAACCACUGGUCAACCCUUGGUCAAAGACAAGGUCAAAGUCAACCCCUGACUGACCCUACUCGCCGAGUCAACCCGAUGACUCGCCGAGUUCCCAUACUCAGAACUCCACUCAAACCGCGACCUAACUCGCCAAGUCACCCCGAGACUCGCCAAGUCCCACAACUUUUGAGUCCUCUCGCACACAACUCACCAAGUCAUCCCUUGACUCACCGAUUCUCGACUCAACCAGAGAACAUCGGAACUCUUCGACAUGACUCGCCGAGUCCAAGAACAGACUCGCCGAGUCUAUGGCUAUCUUCAACCUACUCGCCGAGUUGUUCAUACAACUCGCCGAGUUCCAGGCCAUCUUCAUCCAACUCGCCGAGUUGUUCUUCCAACUCGCCGAGUCCCAGCUCGUCUUCAAGCAACUCGUCGAGUACACCCAUGUGACUCGCCGAGUACCACCGGUCUGAAUCUAUAC